AUACCGUGGUGUGGGCAAUUCUUCAAUAGCAUCUUGAAUCGGUUGAAAGCUUCAUGAAAUCACUCACCUAAUUGCUAUUGGAAGUUCUGAAUAUCCUUCCGAGCAU
RNAcentral lists this small nucleolar RNA (106 nucleotides) under Helianthus annuus (common sunflower). Its description in RNAcentral is "Plant small nucleolar RNA R71". It matches the Rfam family "Plant small nucleolar RNA R71". Rfam says of the family: R71 is a member of the C/D box family of snoRNAs containing the C (UGAUGA) and D (CUGA) box motifs. Multiple nearly identical copies of this snoRNA have been identified in Arabidopsis, and it is thought to function as a 2'-O-ribose methylation guide for 18S ribosomal RNA. Lineage: Eukaryota; Viridiplantae; Streptophyta; Magnoliopsida; Asterales; Asteraceae. The record is from RNAcentral.